UACGAAGGGGGCUAGCGUUGUUCGGAAUUACUGGGCGUAAAGGGCGCGUAGGCGGCGUGUCAAGUCAGGCGUGAAAGCCCCGGGCUCAACCUGGGAACCGCGCUUGAGACUGGCAUGCUCGAGUUCGGGAGAGGAGCGUGGAAUUCCCAGUGUAGAGGUGAAAUUCGUAGAUAUUGGGAAGAACACCGGUGGCGAAGGCGGCGCUCUGGACCGGGACUGACGCUGAGGCGCGAAAGCGUGGGGAGCAAACAGG
RNAcentral lists this ribosomal RNA (253 nucleotides) under uncultured bacterium. RNAcentral's name for it is "partial 16S ribosomal RNA". It matches the Rfam family "Bacterial small subunit ribosomal RNA", at positions 524 to 776 of the family's 1533-position model. The record is from RNAcentral.